Molecule: ribosomal RNA, 385 nt
Filed under: uncultured bacterium
Lineage: Bacteria
Description: bacterial SSU rRNA
Rfam family: Bacterial small subunit ribosomal RNA
Source: RNAcentral
GACGAACGCUGGCGGCGUGCUUAACACAUGCAAGUCGAGCGGUAAGGCCCUUUCGGGGGUACACGAGCGGCGAACGGGUGAGUAACACGUGGGUGACCUGCCCUCAGCUCUGGGAUAAGCCUGGGAAACCGGGUCUAAUACCGGAUAUGACUCCAUGACGCAUGUUGUGGGGUGGAAAGCCUUGUGCGGCUGAGGGUGGGCCCGCGGCCUAUCAGCUAGUUGGUGGGGUAAUGGCUCACCAAGGCGACGACGGGUAGCUGGUCUGAGAGGAUGGCCAGCCACAUUGGGACUGAGACACGGCCCAGACUCCUACGGGAGGCAGCAGUGGGGAAUAUUGCGCAAUGGGCGAAAGCCUGACGCAGCGACGCCGCGUGUGGGAUGACGG